GACAUAGGUGGCGAACGUUAUCCGGAUUUAUUGGGCGUAAAGGAUGCGUAGAUGGUAGAAUAAGUUAUUGGUCGAGGUUGAGCUCAACUUAACGGAAGCUGGUAAUACUGUUUCACUAGAGGGCAGGAGAGGUUGACGGAACUCUAUGUGUAGGGGUAAAAUCCGAAGAUAUAUAGAAGAACAUCAAAAGGCGAAGGCAGUUAACUAGUCUGUUCCUGACAUUGAGGCACGAAAGCGUGGGGAGCAAAACGG
This 252-nucleotide ribosomal RNA is filed under the name uncultured bacterium. RNAcentral describes it as "partial 16S ribosomal RNA". It matches the Rfam family "Bacterial small subunit ribosomal RNA", at positions 524 to 776 of the family's 1533-position model. The record is from RNAcentral.